GCAUAUCAAUAAGCGGAGGAAAAGAAACCAACAGGGAUUGCCUCAGUAACGGCGAGUGAAGCGGCAAAAGCUCAAAUUUGAAAUCCUUCGGGAGUUGUAAUUUGUAGGUUGGGAGACCCCGCGGCUAGUGGCACCAAGUCCCUUGGAACAGGGCGCCUUAGAGGGUGAGAGCCCCGUAGGUACCACAAUACCGUCUUGUGUCUCCUCUCCAAAGAGUCGAGUUGUUUGGGAAUGCAGCUCAAAGUGGGUGGUAAAUUCCAUCUAAAGCUAAAUACCGGCGAGAGACCGAUAGCGAACAAGUACAGUGAUGGAAAGAUGAAAAGCACUUUGAAAAGAGAGUGAAACAGUACGUGAAAUUGUUGAAAGGGAAGGGCUUGCAAGCAGACACGGCCUUCGUGCCGGGCCAGCAUCGGUUGCUAGGGGUGGAUAAGGAACAAGGGAUGUAGCUCCUCGGAGUAUUAUAGCCUUGCGCAAUACACCCACUGGCGACCGAGGCCUGCGGUAUUCUUUACCUAGGAUGCUGGCGUAAUGGUUGCAAGCCGCCCGUCUUGAAACACGGACC
RNAcentral lists this ribosomal RNA (562 nucleotides) under uncultured fungus. RNAcentral's name for it is "eukaryotic LSU rRNA". It matches the Rfam family "Eukaryotic large subunit ribosomal RNA", at positions 38 to 667 of the family's 3401-position model. The record is from RNAcentral. Lineage: Eukaryota; Fungi.